CGCCGCCAUUUUGGGCUGGGAGGAGGCAGCGGAGGGACUCGCUGCGCAGUGAGAGCACCCCGUGGGGGGUGGUCCGGGCGCGGGGAGAGGCCGGGCCGAGUGGGCUGCCUGAAGUGGUGGCGCCGGGAGACGGCGGGGAGUGGGACCGGGGACCGGGGGGGUGAAGGUUGGAGACUCCCCGGCCGGGCCCGGUCCUCAAACCGUCCCGGCAGCCCCGCAGCCUCGCCUCUCACAGAGGGCGGGGUUCUUGGGCAAUUACCGCGUGUUCCCCGAGACCCCAGUUGGGGAGAGACCGGGUGAAACAAACGACUCCGCUCUGCUCUUCCCACGGGGGACGCAGAUCCAGAGGCCGAGUUCUGCCAACUUUCCCCACCCCCAUGCGGCCUGGGUAUGGUGGCGGGGCCCAGCGUUGCGGGACCCCCACUACGAGGGGCGAGGUGGGGGCGUCGCCAGAUUCCAAAGACUGGCGCCCCCGGGGAGGGCGGAGGUCCCAGCUCUGGCCGUGCGUCCUCCUGGCGUGGCUGGCAGCUGGAGGCCCCGAGGGCGCAGAGCCGGGUGCACCCACCAUCUUCCCCCAUACACCAAGGCCAUCUCGCGGCCCCGGCUUCGAGAAGGAAACAGUCUCUUCUUACAGUAGCAACCACCAAUUCCUCCUGGAACUAGGUAGAUAGAGGCACGUGGAAGGCUUUGCGAGCCCAAUGCUUGGAAAUCUCUGAGCGCUCUUGCCCUCAAGAUUUCUAGCCAGCCCCGAUUGUCGGAAUGACCUGACCUUGCACGUCCCCAGCCAGUUUGGGAAACUCUAAAAAUGUGCUGUUCACUUCUCUUGAAAGUUUACACCGAAAAAAGGUUGGGUUUUGCCCUUUACGGGGUUGGGACACAAAAAAAAAACUGAGUGGCCACGGCUCAGGGAAUAAAAGUGGAGUGGCCCAUUUCGGAUGCUUCAGGAACAUCUGUUUGCGUUUUGAAAUCCGAGCCAUGAGUUUUAACCAAAACUUUUGGAGAAAUGGCUGCCCUCCUAGAGGAAAGAACGAACUAAUUCCAACAUAAUCUUUAUAAGACUACAAAUUCUUUCCAGUUUAAAGAACUUUUCUUCCACAAACUGAACAAAAUGGGGAGUAUUUUGCCACUGACGCAUUGUUACUAGGGAACCUCUAUUUUGAAUUUCCAAGGACACUAAUUGAAAAUCACCUCUGUGAAUCCCAGAUGCUACCCAGAUAGAAAUUGCAGUUUUGAGCAACUUCAUGUAUGUAGCGUUUGAGGGGUGGGGGGAGACCUGCUUUGAAAAAAAUAAAUACUCAACCUUACAUUGACAGUUAUAGCAGCUUCUUAGGAUUGAAGUUUGAUGUGAAAUUCUUUUCUUGAAUUACAGAUUAAACCAUCUUGUUUCCUCCUGCUCGAGAUCCAAGUUCAGAGAGCUUUACAUACAGCUCAGGGAUAUCUUAAUAAUUUUGUUGCUAAAAUACCAGUUAGAAAUUAUGUGUAGCAUGAGAGUGACUGGGUAGUGAACUUUACCUUUGAGGGUAUCUUGUAAUGAAUCUCAUUGCCAAUUACAUAUGGUCACAUCAUUCCUAAGCCUUUGGCUUGAAAAGCAAGAACCUUGAAAGGUUUUUGAUAACUGAAGCCCUCCCCCUCCUCCUAUUAAUCAUCUUUUAAGUUGUAAAUGACAGUUCCAUAACUUUAUAUUCUCCCCCUGCUCCCCAGAUGUUCUCAGAGAAAGUCUUACAACUGGAUGGUGACAAGGUGAUCACCAUUGACUUAAUUUCUUAAUCCAAAAUUUGAACCACUAAAUGAAGUAUCCUUGAUUCAUACUGUAGGUUGACUUGGCUUAUGUCAUGUUAAUUUUACACUGUUCUUCAGAUCAAGAGAAGAUUGGUUAGGAAAAGCUGACAUUAACUUGGUAGGAGUUAAGUUAAAUAGUCAUAGGAGCUGAAUGGGGCUUUACAGAUUAUCUUUGUAGUUCUUCUGUCAAGAAUUUAAUGGAGGAUCCCAGACUCUUGUGAUUCAUCCUCCAUGGUGAAGUAAUAGGGUUAAACCUUUGGAUGCUACUAGGUAGACAGUACUGGGCCAGGUGCAGAAAUGUGUUACUCAUUUAGAAAGAUGAAAGGUUAUCAUCUUUAAGGUUGACCCGGAAGCUUUUCUAUUCCUUGAUAAGAAAAGUUGGGAAUAAACCCAGUUUAAUAAUGCUCCCUUGGUUAUCUUUUGAGCAAAACACAGGACUGGAAGUUAGGAACUCCCAAGUUCUAUUUCUGUGUGUGCUACCACUGACUUGAUUGGCUUGGCCAGAGGCCAAAUCCUGAAGAUGAGGCCAAACUGGUCAUUUUGUUGCUGAGUCCAUUGUUCAUCUAAUGUUCAACCAGACCUUCAACUUCCUUCUCAGCUCUCCCCUUUCAGAUGAGUUGUUUUGGGGUUUAUGACAAAGGCUACAAACCCUAUAUGCUUCAGUUUCCUGAUUUGAAAAUAGUAUCUGUGCUGCCUCCCUCAUAAAUACCUUGAGUAACUACUCUUCAGUAGCUAUGUAAACAUUUACUUACUAAAACUUCAUUAUUUGGGAAUCUAGAACUUCUGCUUCAGAAGUUAUCUGGGGUAUUUGGGAGGCCUGCCUUAAAGAAAUGUGGCCCUGGUUGCCCUUGGCGGCACAAAGGGUGGCCAUCCAACUAGGCUGAAUGAGGGUCAGUUUCUCAGGGUACCAAGCAGUUGUUACUAGGAAGACCUGGAUAUUUUACCCUGAUGGCCAGCUCCUGGGGCCUGGUGGCUCUGUGUGAGCAGGAUCCAUGGAUGAGUAGGAUUGACUCUUGGAGCAGGUCCCCUUUGGCAUGAAGCUGCUUGCUUCUGAGUGAUUGGACUUCCACAAUCAUAAUUUUUUAUUGUGUUUCGCUCUCACCCUCUUUCUCUUUGAAUUUUCUCUUCUUAAAUUGCUCAAAUGUUUGUUGUUUUGUUAAGUACACUUUUAGAAAUAACGAGAGAGGUAACCUCUUAGACAUUCCUUUCCAUCCUCUAGUUUGGUCUCCUGCCUUUGCCUAACAGUUGUACUGGAGUUAUCCAGGUAUGCGAACUUCUGUGUUGAAUCAGUCUUCAGACUUCAAAUUAACCUCCUUUUCUGACCCUCUGGAGGCUAGCACAAGUUCUUCUGAGAGCUCACAAGAGCAGCGAUGCUGUCAUUUUUUCAGAUGCUUCUGCUUGGGGCACUCAAGUUCCCACAUUUUCCUUCAGGAAUAUCCUUUUUGCUCACUGCAAACCCAGGGCUUUUUAACACUUCACACGAAGUCUGUGGAUGUGUCAAAUAGAAUAUGAAGGAUGAGAGUUCAGUUUCCUUCCGAAUUUUUGCUCUUCUUGAAAAAACUUUUAGGGGCGCCUGGGUGGCUCAGUCGGUUGAGCGACCGACUUCGGCUCAGGUCAUGAUCUCACGGUUUGUGAGUUCAAGCCCCGCAUCGGGCUCUGUGCUGCCAGCUCAGAGCCUGGAGCCUGCUUCUGAUUCUGUGUCUCCCUCUCUCUCUGACCCUCCCCCACUCAUGCUCUGUCUCUCUCUGCCUCAGAAAUAAAUAAAGAUUAAAAAAAAAAUUUUUUUUAAAAAGAAAAAACUUUUAAGCCAAAUAUAACUGCUCUUGGUGCUACGUUGAGAGAGAGCACUUUUUCAAAAAACUUACCAACAGUUGCCUACAGCAGCUCACUCAUUUGAAAGAAUUUUGUUGGUGUGCAAAGGUUUAUUAAUAAACUACUAGGAUUAUUCUCUGCCCUUGACCUUGUUAACAUCAUUUGUCAUAAUUGAACCACCUCUGAGUAAACCCCAAGAAAAAGUUUAUUCAGGAGGAAUUGUGAGGGCUCAAUUAUUGAUCUGUUUAAACUCAGCCUUUGUUUUUUUCAACAAGAAGUGGAAUGAGGUUGUAAACUUUCCAGUAUUCAAAGACCAUUGGCUCAAAUGGAAUCUUUGCCACCUAGACUGUAUAUUCUGUCCCAUUUGCAAAGUAUGACGAUUACCUUUUGGUCAGCCCACCCGACUGUUCAGGGCCUGAAUUUGACAUCAUCUUUCUUUUAAAAAUUAUUUUUCAUUUCUAGCAUCAACCAUUUAUACUUGGUGUGAGCAAGAAUAGUAAAGUGGUAUUUUAUUCCAAUGUUAUCAAAUUUGAAAAAAUAAUUUCAAAAACAAAUCUCACAAACUCAAGUGUACUUAAUACAAGUACUAUCUCAGCUCUAGCUAACUUUGCUAUCACAAUGUUGUGAAUAUUUGUUGCCAGCUGUUCUGGGUGUAAGUGGCCAGGGAGAAUUCUGUGGUGCAUUACCUAAUGUUUGACUAAAUAUAGCCAGCUCUUGAUUUUCUGAAGGUAAACUAUUUGCUUGUGGUUGUGGGAUUUUUUGUUGUUGUUUUUUGGUUUUUGGUUUUUUUAAUUUCUAUGGAUUCCCUCUUUGAUUUUUUUUUCCCCUCUAACUUUUGAAGUGAUUAGGGUCAUAUUUAUUUACAUUUUCCCAAAGGAUUUUAAUUUUACUCUAGAUGAAGUGAAAAUUAAAAUACUGAUCAAAUGGGCAACUGCUCUGGUCUUAAAAAGAAACAAGGGGCUGGCUCAGUCAGUGGAGCAUGUGACUCUUGAUCUCGGGGUUGUGGGUUCGAGCCCCACACUGGGCAUAGAGAUUACUGGGAAAAAAAAGGAAAGAAAGAAAUAAAAGAAUAUCAAUGUUAGCUUACUUUAGUAUAACAUGUUUUCAUCCUUUAAUCCUGAUAGCAGUUUUGUAAAGUAGGCACAGGCCCAUUUUGCUGAUGAAGAAUGAGACUCAGAGUUUAAGAGAGUUUUGUCCAGGGUUGCACUACCAGUAUAUGUUAAAGAUAUGACUAGGACCCUGGUUUUUUGACUCCUUUUAAGCUAGUCUAAUUUUUAUGUUUUCUUUCUUUAGAGAUACCUGGUAUAUUUUUCUGAAUUAAACCAAUCUGAACCUCCCUGGUUUUCUCUCCCCAAAAAAAUGAUAUCUAAAGGGCCCUGUCUCCUGAAGGCCACUUUGUAUUAUAGGCUAGCCCCCCAAAAGUUUUCCUUAGAGGAGGAUUAAGCUUUCCAGCCAGCUCUCUCAAAGUUGGGGAAGCACUUUGUCCUGGCUGGAUACCCAGGCCCCCUAUGAGAAAGGGAACAAACUGAAAUUGCCAGUGUGUAAGCCUGGUCUUUUAAGCAGCUCAGUUGAAAUGUUUGGAAGAGAGGACUUUAGUGAAAGAUUAGAGAUCCUCAAAUGACUUGAGGACCAUUUGUCAGCACAGCCCCCUUUUAUAAUAAGUAAUUCAGAGUCUUUUCUUUAUCCUGAGAGCAGUAUGCUAGUCAAGUGUUUCAGUGUAGAAAGUGUUGAUAGAAAACUGAAAUUUCCCGCAAACCUCAUCACUCUAAGAACAUAAUGUAAUACAUUUUAUAAAGUGCCUUGGAAGCAAAAUUUGGAAAGUGGCAUAUCUCCAGGUAAAUGAAAGUACUUUGUGAGUUACUUAAAACUGUGUAUUUUUAAAGACUGGACUUAAUUUGUCUCCUAAGAGUAAAACAUAGUUGUUGUUUUUCUGACGGUAAAUGUAUUUACAGAGUCUUUCCAAGACAAACAGUAGGGGAAACAAGAUCAUUAAACUUAAAUCCAUUCAUCUUCAUAACAAGUUCUACAAUCGGAGGUUAUCACUGCUGCAUCCUACAGUGCAGUCAAAAUGAGGCUUCUCUGCACUAUAAAGCCAGAGGGCAGUGUUGCUGCCUUUCCACCAAGCAGCCAGCCAGGUUUCUGGGACUACUGCAUGACGUCAUAGCAGAAGGAAAAUUAAAAACAUGAAGAAAACUAUUUCAAAAUAGACAUUUAAUGUAAUUUUAGGCCAAAGGAAAAACUGAUCAUACAUUGUCUUCAGUGGACCAUCUGCCAGAAUAGGGCCAGCUUAGUCCAGCUUUGAAGGCCCUGAGUCAGUUCUUGACCAGCAUUAAUUUCCCUUGAUUUACUGAUUUGUGAAUGCUCAUGCAUCAUAAGGUGCGUUUCACUCUUAGAAGUUCCUACCACUUCCACCAUUCCAUUUAGCUACAAAAGCAAGCUUUCCAGUGGGAGUUUGGCGGGGGGGGGGGUCCCCUUUUCCCUGUAGAGGUUCUUAACCUUCAAGAAGUUUAACAAUCUCCUGAUUCUCUUGACUGUCUCCCCAGAAUAAUGUACAUAUGACACAAGUCUACAUAGAAACUCAUGGGGUUCAUGUAUCCCAAGACCCCCUAUGGUUUCUAAGGCCCCACAUUAAGGAACCCCUGUGCUAAUGAUUUGAGCAAUGCAUCUGCUGUAGGAAAACACUGACACAGCCAGGUGGAGAUGGGUUGGAUUAACCAUGGUGACAGGAAGGAACAAUCGUAAUUUCUUUUUUGUUGUUUUUAAGGAGCUGGAAGUUUACUGAAUACACUGCAAGGGAAUGGUGGCCAGGAUAGCAAAAGAGAGAUUGCCAACAAUCAUCAUUUCUUACUAUUUUGAUUUGGGGGCAGAAAUUAAUUCUGAGGGCCUCCUUGCAUUUUCAAGAACAGAACUACUCCAGAACCUAAGCAGCUAUUAGGAGAUUGAGGAUAGCGACUGCACAAGGAAUGUGCAGGGUUCCCACUCGGCCCAUAAGGACUUAAUUUAGCUCCCGAACCAGAAGCUUUACAUUUCAUUUGCAGUGAGGGGGCAUUUCUAAUUUUGGCUUGACCCUCAUGAAAAGGUGGACAGCUCCUGUUCCUUUUUUUAGUAUAGGGAGCACCUAAGUAUUAGAUAAUUAGGGUAAGUCCUUGGAAUGCCCCAAACAGCCAUUUCCUCUAUAAAUCCAAUAUUCCCUACCUCUAAACAUCUUAACAAAGAGCUGCCACACAAGUUUAUUCAACCAUUGCUUGCACUAAAAAAGCAAGGGGUUUACCAAGAGCUUCUUUCAGACAUGCAGGAGCUUCUUCAAGCCGUAUUGGGGAGGUGAAGGGAUUACUAAAAACCUAUUUGUAGGAAUGAAAUGAGACUGUCCUUUGUCUAACCUAACAAACUACCAAAUUAGGUUGGCUGUUGAGAAGCAGAAUUAAAUUCUAAGCUUCUGACUGUAGCCACUUUCUGCUCCCCAAGCACCCGCCACUGGAUUAUUUCUCCAGCAUCAAAAAAUUAAAACCAAGGCACUAAGCAAGCACACUUAAGUAUUGAAGGUAAUUAAAUCUUUAUAUUUUGCCUGAACUGUAUUUUGUAGCACACUAAAACCCAUUCAAGGGAAAAAUCAGCAAAUUGAAAACUGUCCCAUUAAAGAUUUUUUUCUGCAAACUGACUAAUGAUUUCUUUACCCCCCCCCACACACAAUGCACUUAAAAUAAGCCAGCACUAUUUGAAUUAGCUCUAGAAAUCACACUGAAACUGUUACAUUUACAAAUAUUAAAUUUAUUAUAACUAGAAUGAAUUUAAUGGUUCUCAGAUUUGGCCACCUUAUAGCUCCGUUUAAGGAGGGGAUUUUUAACAGAAAAAUGCAUCAUAACUUGGUCAAGUUACUUACACAUUAAAAAAAAAAAAAAAACCCUAACUAAAAAGGAAAACAAGAAAAGCAACCCUUCAGUUUCACAUAAUUAAAGAACAGGAAAAAAGCACGCAAGCUACAUCAUAGCUAAAUUUACCAAACCAA
This 7597-nucleotide long non-coding RNA is filed under the name Lynx pardinus (Iberian lynx). The stretch from base 4553 to 4610 matches the Rfam family "tRNA", at positions 8 to 63 of the family's 71-position model. The record is from RNAcentral. Lineage: Eukaryota; Metazoa; Chordata; Mammalia; Carnivora; Felidae.